Molecule: ribosomal RNA, 437 nt
Filed under: uncultured bacterium
Lineage: Bacteria
Description: partial 16S ribosomal RNA
Rfam family: Bacterial small subunit ribosomal RNA
Source: RNAcentral
AGCGAACGCUGGCGGCAUGCUUAACACAUGCAAGUCGCGCGGGUGGUUUCGGCCAUCAGCGGCGGACGGGUGAGUAUCGCGUAGGAAUGUAUCCCGAGGUGGGGGACAACCCUGGGAAACUGGGGCUAAUACCGCAUGGGGCCUGUGGGUCAAAGCCUUAGGGCGCCUUGGGAGCAGCCUGCGUCCGAUUAGGUAGUUGGUGGGGUAAAGGCCUACCAAGCCUGCGAUCGGUAGCUGGUCUGAGAGGACGAUCAGCCACACUGGGACUGAGAUACGGCCCAGACUCCUACGGGAAGCAGCAGUGGGGAAUAUUGGACAAUGGGCGCAAGCCUGAUCCAGCAAUGCCGCGUGGGUGAAGAAGGUCUUCGGAUUGUAAAGCCCUUUCGGCGGGGACGAUGAUGACGGUACCCGCAGAAGAAGCCCCGGCUAACUUCGUG